RNAcentral lists this ribosomal RNA (120 nucleotides) under Lepisosteus oculatus (spotted gar). Lineage: Eukaryota; Metazoa; Chordata; Actinopteri; Semionotiformes; Lepisosteidae. The record is from RNAcentral.
ACAGGCUGCAAUGGCACCACCUUGUAGCCUGAGGUUGUCAGUUCUCAGAAGCUAAGAAAGGUCGGAUCUGGUUAGCACUGGGGUAGGAGACCUCCAAAGAAAACCAGAUUGCUGCUGGUA